AGGUGAUGCAGGUGUUAGAUCGGUGUGUGUUGCCAAAUUUAUCUUUAUAUACAGAAGGUUCUAGUAGUCAAGUGCGAACUAUACUCGUAGGCAGCCAAUCAGAAUGCAGGUUGGAAGGAAUUACUGAUGCCUAGAAGUGCGAGCAGAUACCAGCUGGUUAGAAUAUUCAAAACAACAAGAAAGCCUUUCCGAUAUGCAGAUCAUGGGACACAAGAGAAGGAUAGAAAUGGAGAAUGAAGACAUUUCAGUAAGUGAA
Xenopus laevis (African clawed frog) is the source of this 256-nucleotide long non-coding RNA. RefSeq lists it as uncharacterized. The transcript is spliced from 2 exons. Lineage: Eukaryota; Metazoa; Chordata; Amphibia; Anura; Pipidae. The record is from RefSeq and is a predicted model, not a curated record.